Molecule: ribosomal RNA, 436 nt
Filed under: uncultured bacterium
Lineage: Bacteria
Description: partial 16S ribosomal RNA
Rfam family: Bacterial small subunit ribosomal RNA
Source: RNAcentral
AGCGAACGCUGGCGGCAGGCUUAACACAUGCAAGUCGAGCGGGCAUCUUCGGAUGUCAGCGGCAGACGGGUGAGUAACACGUGGGAACGUACCCUUCGGUUCGGAACAACUCUGGGAAACUGGAGCUAAUACCGGAUACGCCCUUAUGGGGAAAGGUUUACUGCCGAAGGAUCGGCCCGCGUCUGAUUAGCUAGUUGGUGGGGUAACGGCCUACCAAGGCGACGAUCAGUAGCUGGUCUGAGAGGAUGAUCAGCCACACUGGGACUGAGACACGGCCCAGACUCCUACGGGAGACAGCAGUGGGGAAUAUUGGACAAUGGGCGCAAGCCUGAUCCAGCCAUGCCGCGUGAGUGAGGAAGGCCUUAGGGUUGUAAAGCUCUUUUGUCCGGGACGAUAAUGACGGUACCGGAAGAAUAAGCCCCGGCUAACUUCGUGC